GACGAGAAGCGGGCUUCGGCCCGUUAGUAGAGUGGCAGACGGGUGAGUGACACGUGGGUAACCUGUCCGGAGGCGGGGGAUAACUCUUCGAAAGGAGGGCUAAUACCGCAUAACACUCGCCGGGUUUCGGCCUGGCGAAUCAAAGCUUGCCUCUACAUGUAAGCAAGCACCACCGGAGGGGCCCGCGGCCCAUUAGCUUGUUGGUGAGGUAAAGGCUCACCAAGGCGACGAUGGGUAGCCGGCCUGAGAGGGCGAUCGGCCACACUGGAACUGAGACACGGUCCAGACUCCUACGGGAGGCAGCAGUGAGGAAUUUUGCGCAAUGGGGGAAACCCUGACGCAGCGACGCCGCGUGGAGGACGAAGGCCUUCGGGUCGUAAACUCCUGUCAAGUGGGACGAAUCCGGAGAGAUGAAUAAGCUCUUCGGUUGACGGUACCAUUGGAGGAAGCCCCGGCUAACUCCGUGCCAGCAGCCGCGGUAAUACGGAGGGGGCUAGCGUUGUUCGGAAUUAUUGGGCGUAAAGGGCGCGUAGGCGGCCUGGUAAGUCGGACGUGAAAUCCCGCGGCUCAACCGCGGAACUGCGUUCGAAACUGUCAGGCUUGAGUCCCGGAGAGGGUAGCGGAAUUCCCAGUGUAGCGGUGAAAUGCGUAUAUAUUGGGAGGAACACCAGUGGCGAAGGCGGCUACCUGGACGGGUACUGACGCUGAGGCGCGAAAGCAUGGGGAGCAAACAGGAUUAGAUACCCUGGUAGUCCAUGCUGUAAACGAUGAAGCACUUGGUGUUGCGGGUAUCGCCCCCUGCAGUGCCGAAGCUAACGCAUUAAGUGCCCCGCCUGGGGAGUACGGUCGCAAGGCUGAAACUCAAAGGAAUUGACGGGGGCCCGCACAAGCGGUGGAGCAUGUGGUUUAAUUCGACGCAACGCGAAGAACCUUACCUGGGUUUGAACCGCAGAUGACCGUCCUGGAAACAGGGCUUUCGCAAGGGAAGCCGGCACAGGUGCUGCAUGGCUGUCGUCAGCUCGUGUCGUGAGAUGUUGGGUUAAGUCCCGCAACGAGCGCAACCCUUGCCCUUAGUUGCCAUCGGGUUAUGCCGGGAACUCUAGGGAGACUGCCCCGGAAAACGGGGAGGAAGGUGGGGAUGACGUCAAGUCCUCAUGGCCUUUAUGCCCAGGGCUACACACGUGCUACAAUGGGCGGUACAAAGGGUCGCGAUACCGCGAGGUGGAGCUAAUCCCAAAAAGCCGUCCUCAGUUCGGAUUGGAGUCUGCAACUCGACUCCAUGAAGGUGGAAUCGCUAGUAAUCGUGGAUCAGCAUGCCACGGUGAAUACGUUCCCGGGCCUUGUACACACCGCCCGUCACAUCACGAAAGUCGGUUGCACUUGAAAUCGCUGGGCUAACCCGCAAGGGAGGCAGGCGCUUAUGGUGUGAUUGAUAAUUGGG
This 1441-nucleotide ribosomal RNA is filed under the name uncultured prokaryote. RNAcentral describes it as "partial 16S ribosomal RNA". It matches the Rfam family "Bacterial small subunit ribosomal RNA". The record is from RNAcentral.